Molecule: ribosomal RNA, 443 nt
Filed under: uncultured bacterium
Lineage: Bacteria
Description: partial 16S ribosomal RNA
Rfam family: Bacterial small subunit ribosomal RNA
Source: RNAcentral
CCUACGGGUGGCAGCAGUGGGGAAUAUUGGUCAAUGGGCGCAAGCCUGACCCAGCAACGCCGCGUGAAGGAAGACGGCUCUCGGGUUGUAAACUUCUUUUCUCACGGACGAAACACGUGACGGUACCUGCGGAAUAAGCCACGGCUAACUACGUGCCAGCAGCCGCGGUAAUACGGAGGUGGCAAGCGUUAUCCGGAUUUACUGGGUGUAAAGGGUGUGUAGGCGGGAAAGCAAGUCAGAUGUGAAAAGCAUGGGCUCAACCCGUGGCCUGCAUUUAAAACUGUUUUUCUUGAGUAUUGGAGAGGUAGACGGAAUGUCUGGUGUAGCGGUGAAAUGCUUAGAUAUUAGGAGGAACACCAGUGGCGAAGGCGGUCUGCUGGACUGCAACUGACGUUGAGGCGCGAAAGCGUGGGGAGCAAACAGGAUUAGAUACCCGGGUAGUC